CGUGAGAUGUCACAGAAACACGGGAACAAGAGCAAAACUAAGGCAAAGAAAGUGCGGAUGACUUCAGUAAGGGAACCCCAAUAGGGACUGACUUGAUUCGGCACGUGUGAUUUGGUGCAGCUACAAAGAAGGACCAAGUCUGUCGACAGUGAACACUUCAGGACUUUCUGAGAGAUCUUUGGUACCCCACUGCCCACUCUUAAGGACGGAAAAAUUCUCUUGGACUCACGUCAUCCUAGACGCAACCUUUUCCAGCUACUUUCUUCUGCUUCCACUGGAUCUUCAGUUGUGUCAGUGAUGUGACACAUCGUGGGGAUCCCAGCUUGACAUCCUGGCAGCUCCAGAGUAGACCGUUUAGCUUCAGUGAUUGCCACUCUCUUCUUCGCAACAGUCACCGUGUAGUCUGGGAACAUGCUCACUCUCAUCGUGCAGAAUCAGCAACCCUGAGUGGAUCGCUGUACAGAAGACAUCAUCCUGUUCCGGACAUCAUCUGCCAGAAUGAUCACUUUGAAAAUGUUCACCGUUGUCCUUCUGCUUGUUAGAAGCAUCAGCCUGCCAACAAGGAGAAAACGGUCAAGCCUGACUGAGGAGAAUUUAGGACCAGAAGCCGACCAUUGGAGCCAAGGACAGCCUGACAUUCAAGCAGACGACCGAGAUGUGGCAUUUUUUUCAUCUGAAGCAAUCCAGCGUAUUCUUAAAUUUCCCUCAGAGACUCCAAACCACUAUGACACAAAUAGAAGGUACACCUAUGACACGCAAAACCAUGACAUCACAUAUAACAAACUUCCCCCUUGCUCACACACACAAGACUCCACACAUGAAGAAAAUAUCUCUUGGCCGCAUACCCAAGACUCUGCCCAUGAAGAAGAAAUGCCAUGCCGGCAUGAGCGUGACUCCACACAUAAAGCACAAACUGCUUGCCGGCAUGCCCCUGACUUCACUCAUGAAGAACAAGCUCGUUGCCGGCAUACUCCUGACUUCAACCAUGAAGAAAAAACCCCUGGCCAGCAUAAAACAGACUCUAGUAAUAAAGAAAAAAAACCUUGCGAACAUACUCCUAAACGCAAACAUGAAGAACGAAUGCCUUGCCGGCAUAACCAUAACGA
This is a long non-coding RNA of Hippocampus comes (tiger tail seahorse), 1106 nucleotides long. RefSeq lists it as uncharacterized. The transcript is spliced from 5 exons. The record is from RefSeq and is a predicted model, not a curated record. Lineage: Eukaryota; Metazoa; Chordata; Actinopteri; Syngnathiformes; Syngnathidae.